ACAGGUUAAUAUUCCUGUA
This 19-nucleotide ribosomal RNA is filed under the name Escherichia coli. RNAcentral describes it as "23S ribosomal RNA from Escherichia coli (PDB 3BO0, chain F)". Lineage: Bacteria; Pseudomonadati; Pseudomonadota; Gammaproteobacteria; Enterobacterales; Enterobacteriaceae. The record is from RNAcentral.